This is a non-coding RNA of Jatropha curcas, 643 nucleotides long. The record is from RefSeq and is a predicted model, not a curated record. NCBI's taxonomy places the organism in Eukaryota, Viridiplantae, Streptophyta, Magnoliopsida, Malpighiales, Euphorbiaceae.
AAACGGUGCCGUUUGUCCUCGCCGUGGUCCCAAACCAGCAGCUGAAAAGCCUGAAAAGACAAAGGAGUGAAAAAGCCGCAUGUCAAGAAGCGCAAGCGCAAGCCCAAACCCACCAAGCUCAGGGAGAGCAUAACAGCAGGGAACGGUGUUGAUUUUGUUGGCGGGGUUUAUGGGAAAGAGAGUUGUUUUCUUGAAGCAGCUUCCUUCUGGUUUGCUUUUGGUCACUGGUAAUAAAUGGUGUUGCCCCUAAUAAAAGAAGUCUGAACCAAUCUUAAGUUAAUGCAACCUCCACCAAAGUUGAUGUCUGAAAGGAAGAAAAAGAAUGGGGAGCCCGGAGGCUGAGAAAGAGCACCACAGUCAAAUGUGAAGGCAAAGGAAGCAAAAAAAAAAAAAAAAAAAUGAAGCGAUGAAUGUAGUUUAAAGAUCACGUUUCACUAUUACUUCAAAGAUUUAAGAUGAUGAUUGAACCUUCUAUUAGAAUAUUGUAGCAGAAAAAUGCCGCUACUGAUGCCUUUUUGAAGAACUUAAUUAAUAUUUGAGCAUUGUAAUUAUAAUAUCAUGAUUGCUUGAUCAUAAAUAUUAGAUUAAUUUCUAUAGAUGUGAUUUCAUUUAUGAUUAUUAUGUUAAGAUGUUAUGCUGUGUA